This 63-nucleotide transfer RNA is filed under the name Bredia sp. 850. RNAcentral describes it as "tRNA-Gln". It matches the Rfam family "tRNA", at positions 10 to 71 of the family's 71-position model. From Rfam's summary of the family: Transfer RNA (tRNA) molecules are approximately 80 nucleotides in length. Their secondary structure includes four short double-helical elements and three loops (D, anti-codon, and T loops). Further hydrogen bonds mediate the characteristic L-shaped molecular structure. tRNAs have two regions of fundamental functional importance: the anti-codon, which is responsible for specific mRNA codon recognition, and the 3' end, to which the tRNAs corresponding amino acid is attached (by aminoacyl-tRNA synthetases). tRNAs cope with the degeneracy of the genetic code in two manners: having more than one tRNA (with a specific anti-codon) for a particular amino acid; and 'wobble' base-pairing, i.e. permitting non-standard base-pairing at the 3rd anti-codon position. The record is from RNAcentral. RNAcentral also lists the same sequence under 1 other name. Lineage: Eukaryota; Viridiplantae; Streptophyta; Magnoliopsida; Myrtales; Melastomataceae.
GCCAAGUGGUAAGGCAACGGGUUUUGGUCCCGCUAUUCGGAGGUUCGAAUCCUUCCGUCCCAG